RNAcentral lists this ribosomal RNA (548 nucleotides) under Pycnococcus provasolii. RNAcentral's name for it is "SSU rRNA". It matches the Rfam family "Eukaryotic small subunit ribosomal RNA", at positions 603 to 1155 of the family's 1831-position model. The record is from RNAcentral. Lineage: Eukaryota; Viridiplantae; Chlorophyta; Pseudoscourfieldiophyceae; Pseudoscourfieldiales; Pycnococcaceae.
AUUUAAGUUGUUGCAGUUAAAAAGCUCGUAGUUGGAUUUCGGGCGCGGAAGUUCGGUCCGCCGUUUCGGUGUGCACUGUUGUUCUGCGUCUCUCUGCCGGGGACGCGCUUCUGGCCUUAAUUGGCUGGGACGUGGAUUCGGCGUGGUUACUUUGAGAAAAUUAGAGUGUUCAAAGCAAGCUAAAGCUCUGAAUACAUUAGCAUGGAAUAACGCGAGAGGACUCGGUCCUUAUUUUGUUGGUCUUCAAGGAUGGAGUAAUGAUUAAGAGGGACGGUUGGGGGCAUUCGUAUUUCAUUGUCAGAGGUGAAAUUCUUGGAUUUAUGAAAGACGAACUACUGCGAAAGCUUCUGCCAAAGACGUUUUCAUUGAUCAAGAACGAAAGUUGGGGGCUCGAAGAUGAUCAGAUACCAUCCUAGUCUCAACCAUAAACGAUGCCGACUAGGGAUUGGCAGGUGUUACAUCGAUGACUCUGCCAGCACCUUAUGAGAAAUCAAAGUUUUUGGGUUCCGGGGGGAGUAUGGUCGCAAGGCUGAAACUUAAAGGAAUUG